Molecule: long non-coding RNA, 1430 nt
Organism: Cryptomeria japonica (Japanese cedar)
Lineage: Eukaryota; Viridiplantae; Streptophyta; Pinopsida; Cupressales; Cupressaceae
Exons: 6
Source: RefSeq, a predicted model, not a curated record
AAUUAAAAUGUCAUUCACGCUGUUGAGAAAAUGUCUGAAAUUAGGUAACAUGGAGCGGAAAUGUACAGAAAAUUCAUGUCAAAUGGAAAGGGUAUCACUUGCUCACUAGCCGUUGAGAGAAUGCUUGAAAAAGCAUGUGAUGAAAAUUCAAAUCUCAUGGAGCGUAUAACUAACUGGAGUAAACCAUGGUAUCCAGACCAUGUAAACCACGGUAUUUCUCUUACGGAGUUUAUUUUGAAGGGAGGGAUGGUAAUUGUUAGUCCUCUCAUUAUUUGUGCACAGAUGGGCAAAGGCACCCGCAAUUGCCUGUGUCGCAUUUGCAAUUUUAAGAUUAUAACCCUAACCUCUGUCAGACGAAUUAAUGUUUUUUUAUUUUUUUUCUUCUGUGAGUGCUUUGUUCUGUCUUUCUGUUCUUUCUUUCAUUAUUUUUUUUCCAAUACAAUGUUUGUUCAAUGUUUUGUUCUAUCUUUUCAUUAUUUCUUGUUUUUUUAAUCAAGAGUCUGUCUACAGUGUGCACACUAGUCUGUCUGUCAUGAUUUUUAUCUGUUAUUUGUUUUUUCCUUUUUCCUUUUUGUCACAUUUUGUGUGGUAGAAGAUGAAGUGGAAAAGCAGAGGAGGUAGGGAUCGGGAAAUACCAGUCGAUUGAGGGAAAAAUUCUACUUCCAGCGGGUCAUGGCACUGACAAUGGAAUCACUGGUGGGACCAUUUCUCAGAGGAGGCCUUGCUAAGCUCUUCAUGACUUCCUUUGAACCUGCUCACAGGCGAGCUGCACCAUCAACUUAGGGUCAGUUUCGUGGAAGUUGUACCAGAUCAAAGGGAGAAUUAUCUUCAGUGCCUUGAGCACGUUCAGCAGCAAGGACACAAUCCAGGUCUCUUGGGAGCUCAAUUAUCUGACUUAUCAGUGGGCAACCAGAAGAAAUUUUUGUCUCGGCAACAACAAUCUGCACUUUUGCAGCAGGUGGAUGUCAUUGUUUUGUUCGGGAAAAAAGCUUGUGGAGUGGGGCGUCUUACUUCUUGGAUUGUCUGUGGGUUGUAGUAACACAGAGAAGCUGCAAUUAUUGAAGUUGACAUGUUUGGUGAGGUUGACAUGAAUGAUUACAAACGGGCCCUGGCUGGCAGCAUGUUGCAGCGAAAAAAUUUCAGUUUGAUAAGAAGGAUCCUAAAGCAAACUGAACAUCAUGAUGUAUAAAAACAGCAAGAGAUAGAAUUAGGCUUCAAUCAUUUAUGUAUUUAAAUUUUGGUCAAGCAUAUUGACUUAAAGCUUUGUAAUAUGUACAAAUAUAGUGCUUAAUAAAAAGUAUUGGAAGGGGUUAAAAACCCCUUCUAAAGACUGAAAGGAAUAGUCAUUGGCCAUGGCUAUUCCUUGAGGUUGUUUUUGGCACCUUAAAGAAUGGUCAAUAGGCCAAGACCAUUCUUUAAGGUUUGUGUCU